UUUUUUGUUUCGAUAUUUCGUUACAUACUUUAACUAGUGUUAUAAAAUGAGCCGCAGACCUGUUAGUCACUGUUUCCAGCAACACCCGGGUCCGCCAAUAAAUGCACAGAGUUAGAAAGUGGAGGUCACGCUCUCGAGUAGAGAUGCGCUAAUAUUCACUAAUGAUCCUUCCGCAGGUUCACCUACGGAAA
Molecule: unclassified non-coding RNA, 191 nt
Filed under: uncultured fungus
Lineage: Eukaryota; Fungi
Description: sequence contains ITS1
Source: RNAcentral